GCGGAUGUGGCGGAAUUGGUAGACGCGCACGGUUCAGGUCCGUGUGGGCGCAAGCCCGUGGAGGUUCAAGUCCUCUCAUCCGCA
Molecule: transfer RNA, 84 nt
Filed under: Gaiellaceae bacterium
Lineage: Bacteria; Bacillati; Actinomycetota; Thermoleophilia; Gaiellales; Gaiellaceae
Also listed under: 2 other names
Description: tRNA-Leu
Rfam family: tRNA
About the family: Transfer RNA (tRNA) molecules are approximately 80 nucleotides in length. Their secondary structure includes four short double-helical elements and three loops (D, anti-codon, and T loops).
Source: RNAcentral